UUUCCGUAGGUGAACCUGCGGAAGGAUCAUUAUUGUAUAACCGAGGUGCGAGGGCUGUCGCUGACCCGAAAGGUCGUGCACGCCCGAGUGCCCUCACACACAUCCAUCUCACCCCUAUGUGCACCACCGCGUGAGUCCCCCUUUGGCUUGUUCGGAGGGGGGCUUACGUUUUCACACAAACUUUGUAUGCAGUGUAGUAUGUAUUUUUUGUUUUUGCGAUCACGCAAUCAAUACAACUUUCAACAACGGAUCUCUUGGCUCUC
This 263-nucleotide unclassified non-coding RNA is filed under the name plant metagenome. Its description in RNAcentral is "partial contains small subunit ribosomal RNA, internal transcribed spacer 1, and 5.8S ribosomal RNA". The record is from RNAcentral.